This is an unclassified non-coding RNA of Chrysemys picta bellii (western painted turtle), 175 nucleotides long. The record is from Ensembl. Lineage: Eukaryota; Metazoa; Chordata; Testudines; Emydidae.
UUUACAUCCCUGGAAACUUCGCUCUGCACAUCCCCAGAGCAGGUACAGCACAGGCUGUGGCAGCACAAGCUUCCCUCAAGCUGCCCUGUGACACUUGUCAACUCUGACUUGGCUGGAUCACUUCUAGGGAUGGAAGGGCAGAUCUGUCUCAAUCCCAUUUCAAUUCUAAUCUCUC